This 243-nucleotide ribosomal RNA is filed under the name uncultured bacterium. Its description in RNAcentral is "partial 16S ribosomal RNA". It matches the Rfam family "Bacterial small subunit ribosomal RNA", at positions 524 to 782 of the family's 1533-position model. The record is from RNAcentral.
UACGAAGGGGCUAGCGUUGCUCGGAAUUACUGGGCGUAAAGCGCACGUAGGCGGCUUCUAAGUCGGGGUGAAUCCUGGAGCUCAACUCCAGAACUGCCUUCGACUACUGGAGAGCUUGAGUCCGGAGAGGUGAGUGAACUGCGAGUGUAGAGGUGAAUUCGUAGAUAUUCGCAGAACACCAGUGCGAAGCGGCUCACUGGCCGUACUGACGCUGAGUGCGAAGCGUGGAGCAACAGGAUUAGA